UACGGAGGGGACUAGCGUUGUUCGGAAUUACUGGGCGUAAAGCGCGCGUAGGCGGGCUGGUCAGUUUGGGGGUGAAAUCCGAGGCUUAACCUCGGAACUGCCUUCAAUACUGCCAGUCUUGAGUUCGGAAGAGGUGAGUGGAAUUCCUAGGUGUAGAGGUGAAAUUCAUAGAUAAUUAGGAAGAACACCAGUGGCGAAGGCGCUCACUGGUCCGAUACU
Molecule: ribosomal RNA, 219 nt
Filed under: uncultured bacterium
Lineage: Bacteria
Description: partial 16S ribosomal RNA
Rfam family: Bacterial small subunit ribosomal RNA
Source: RNAcentral